This 447-nucleotide RNase P RNA is filed under the name Stieleria marina. RNAcentral's name for it is "Planctomycetes bacterium K23_9 RNaseP_bact_a". It matches the Rfam family "Bacterial RNase P class A". Rfam says of the family: Ribonuclease P (RNase P) is a ubiquitous endoribonuclease, found in archaea, bacteria and eukarya as well as chloroplasts and mitochondria. Its best characterised activity is the generation of mature 5'-ends of tRNAs by cleaving the 5'-leader elements of precursor-tRNAs. Cellular RNase Ps are ribonucleoproteins. Lineage: Bacteria; Pseudomonadati; Planctomycetota; Planctomycetia; Pirellulales; Pirellulaceae. The record is from RNAcentral.
CGUGAGGGCGGGGCGAUCGCUGGUUGCGCUUGCGUGACUGGAGGAAAGUCCGGGCUCCACAGGACAGGAUGGUCGAUAACGUCGACCGGCCGAGAGGUUAGGGAUAGUGCAACAGAGAAUAGACCGCCGAACGGUCGGCUGACUGAUUCAUUUCAGCUAGUCGAUGCGUGGUAAGGCUGAAACGGUGCGGUAAGAGCGCACCAGCGGCCAAGGUGACUUGGUCGGCUUGGUAAACCCCAUCCGGAGCUAGACCAAACAGAUUGCAGUGGCCGUGUUUCGAGAGAAACGGCGUUUCGCAAGAAGCGUGGGUCACACGGGGCUGUCCGCCGCGUUACGACAAUCGGGUAGGUUGCGAUUGAGGCGACGAGCAAUCGUCGUGCACAGAUAAAUGAUCGUCGGCGAAACUUCGGUUUCGUCACAGAACCCGGCUUACAUGCCCUCCGCAGC